This is a long non-coding RNA of Globicephala melas (long-finned pilot whale), 752 nucleotides long. RefSeq lists it as uncharacterized. The record is from RefSeq and is a predicted model, not a curated record. Lineage: Eukaryota; Metazoa; Chordata; Mammalia; Artiodactyla; Delphinidae.
UUUGGGUACACUCUGAUGCCCUGGGUUCCGGCACCUAACUUGUGCCCACCCAAACCCCAACCUUGCUAAGAGCAGAAAGAUUCCAGGCGUCUUGGGGCAGUGGUGACUCACUGCAGCACCCCCUCCCCUUCGCCUAACUGCCGUCUCCGCCCACCCCCAAACCAUGUCAACAAAGCACGGCGGCUCUGGGAGCUUUGCUGGGGGCUAAAGGCGUUCAUCUUCGUCCUCGCAUCCCAGCAGGCUAACCCUAUCCCGUCCGAGUCUUCAAGCUUGCCUCGCUCCCCACCCGACCCUUCGGUUGAGCAGCGGAGAUAGAUGAGACAUCCCGAUGCGGGACUCUGGAGCCACUCACAGCAGCCCGUGGAGGGGGCACCCAAGAGCCCUGGGGUAUUUUAGUUCAUUCCAGCAAGCUCUGGCCGAGUGCUCAAGAUGCGCCUAGCACCUUAUGGAUGUGUGGAAAGCAACAGGUUCUAGUUCAAAAACAGCUCAAACACAGGGCAAAACCUCUACUCCAUCACAACCCACUUCAUCAGUCAAGAAAUCAGGGCUUCCCUGGUGGCCAAUGCAGGGGACAAGUGUUUGAGCCCUGGUCCGGGAAGAUCCCACAUGCUGUGGAGCAACUAAGCCUGUGCACCGCAACUACUGAGCCUGUGUGCCACAACUACUGAAGCCCGCGCGCCUAGAGCCCACGCUCCGCAACAAGAGGAGCCACCGCAAUGAGAAGCCCACGCACCGCAACGAAGAGUAGCCCC